Non-coding RNA from Acanthosepion pharaonis, 111 nucleotides. NCBI's taxonomy places the organism in Eukaryota, Metazoa, Mollusca, Cephalopoda, Sepiida, Sepiidae. The record is from the annotation of a GenBank genome assembly.
UACAGUCAUAUCAUGUUGAAACAUCAGUUCUCGUACGAUCACCAAAGUUAAGCAAUAUCAAGCCUUGUCAGUACCUAGAUAGGUGACCACUUGGGAAUACCAAGUGUUGUA